This 496-nucleotide ribosomal RNA is filed under the name uncultured bacterium. RNAcentral's name for it is "partial 16S ribosomal RNA". It matches the Rfam family "Bacterial small subunit ribosomal RNA", at positions 29 to 507 of the family's 1533-position model. The record is from RNAcentral.
AUGAACGCUGGCGGCGUGCCUAAUACAUGCAAGUCGAGCGAACAGACGAGGAGCUUGCUCCUCUGACGUUAGCGGCGGACGGGUGAGUAACACGUGGAUAACCUACCUAUAAGACUGGGAUAACUUCGGGAAACCGGAGCUAAUACCGGAUAAUAUAUUGAACCGCAUGGUUCAAUAGUGAAAGACGGUUUUGCUGUCACUUAUAGAUGGAUCCGCGCCGCAUUAGCUAGUUGGUAAGGUAACGGCUUACCAAGGCAACGAUGCGUAGCCGACCUGAGAGGGUGAUCGGCCACACUGGAACUGAGACACGGUCCAGACUCCUACGGGAGGCAGCAGUAGGGAAUCCUCCGCAAUGGGCGAAAGCCUGACGGAGCAACGCCGCGUGAGUGAUGAAGGUCUUCGGAUCGUAAAACUCUGUUAUUAGGGAAGAACAAAUGUGUAAGUAACUAUGCACGUCUUGACGGUACCUAAUCAGAAAGCCACGGCUAACUACGUG